AAAUAUAUACACAUCUUUUAUUUUCAGUACAACCUCAGCUGUCAGUUUAUGGGUGCAAAAAUUACAUAAAAUAAAUGUGACAGUAGAUCCAGAACCAUCAAAGUCAACCAAAAAACAAAAAUGGAAAUUGAUAUCAACAGUACUUUGCACAAAAACAUAUAAAUCUACAGUGACCAAGCCUUCUCUCACCUGCACAUCAUUCUUUCAAGUCUUGGCUAUCAGGAGAAGAAAUACUGGGAUUGGAACAAACACACAACAGAAACUAUUUACGUAUUUACACAAAUUUUUCCUGCCGUUUUUUGCUAUGAACAGUUGUUUAUGCCACUCAUUUAAGCAGUUCCUGUCUUUCCAAGCAUUGAGGACCAUUAUUUCUUAUUUUGCAGACAAGCAGGGAACUUUCGUCUCUUGUUGAUCUUUGGUUGCCUCUUAUUGGACACUACUGUCGAGGGAACAAUAGAAGAAAAAUAUGAGACCAUGUAAUUGGUCGAAAGUUUGACAGAAAAAGACGUCGUCAAAACAGCUUGUCAAACCCAGAAGACAUUAGCGGCAUUUAGAUCCAGAUCCCCACAUAAAUGAUGCAUUUCACUGUCAAAAUAUACUACCUAAUCAUGUACAGGACAAAACAAAGACUGCCCUGUCCACAGGGGGUGCCAAAGUCGACACAAGCUAAAAGUUCCUUACAGGAGCUUUAAUAAACUUACGUUUAAGAAGCACAGUGUGGCACCUAGUAGCAGAAAUUCAACCUGCUGAAGCUGUUUGAAGAACAUCUGGAAGCAUUUCGAUGCAAUUUAUAAAUUCAAAGUUGAAAAUUAGCUGCCUGAUUACUCUGUAACACUUAUGGCUAAUAUAAACUUUUAUUAAGUCAAGCAUUUUGAUACUGUGGCUCUUUUAAAAGAGAUACAGUCACGCCUUUGUACUUGUUAAGUGUGCUAAACUCUCUCACCAAGAAGCAGUCAGGAGGAGCAGGCUUAACCAGGCUAAUGAACAUUCAUGUGGCGUUACAGAGGAAAAGAACCUGAAAAAGUGCACCUACUUCCUCUUAUCACUGAUGUCAAACAGAAAAGUUACAUAAAGUCUUUGAAUUAAAAACUUUCCUCCCCAGCUGUCCUAGACAUUUCCAUUUCUGGUGUCUGUGCGAGCAAACAUUUUAGUAUUUACACAUCUAAAAGAGAUGGAAUAGCAUUCAUUUUUAUUUAGAGCUGUUUUUGUCCACCACCUGGCUAAAGUUAAACUUAACAUUUACUCCUCUUUUAGCUCUGGCUUUGCUCUGUACCUAUUUUAAAGGAGUUUUAUGACAACAGUUUGUUUGCCAGCUCGUCUCUAACUUUGUAUGCUGUGCAAUACUGAACAGAUAGAGUUUAAUGAGCUUCUAAAGAGAGAAAAUUAGCAUUUUCUGGCUGUAAAUGGUGCCGAUGAGUGUCUGUUUGAACCUUACGAUUUUGCAGAAAGGGCCCAGAGAGGUGAUAGGCCCAGUCUUUACUUUGGGUCAAAUCAAUCAUGAGAAGUGCACCUUUGCAUGUACCAACAAAUCUCUGAAGUUGAUUUUUGAAUAUUUAUGUAGCAUGAUUUAAUUUAUUUACAUCGUCUUAGACUUUAAAUGAACUCCCUCAGGUUUCAGGCAAAGCUAAUUUACACAGUGAGAGUUCAUUAUGCUAGACCUGCUGAGCAAUCUGUGGGGUUUAGGAGAUGAAUUACCCCAAAUGUGUAAUAGUCGAGUAUGAACUCACACAACAGCUUCAUGACAAAAUUAACAAUAAUACAUGUUAAAUACAUCAACCAUAUGCCAAACAAUCCAGAGCUGCAGACGCCAGUGAUUCAAUUCUCAAACAGCUGAUUCAAAAGUGUUAAACUGACUCUGAUUGCCGUCAAUUAUAAAUCUUCACCCACAACUGCUUAAGUGUUGAUUCUGAACCGGAUUACUGUGUGCGUACUGUCUGAAGGAUGAGCUGUCAUCAUUAGUGAAAUAUACUGACGCCAGAUCCUCACUAAUGUUGUGUUUUUUGCCCGACUGUGCAGUCUGUAUUUACCUUUUGGAGCAUGAUUUGUUUUUAGCAAAGAGCAGAUGCUGUUUGUAUACGCACAGUGGAAAUGGGAGAACAGUUUUCUCUUCUUGAGAUUUUUUUUUUUUUUAUAUCCUGAGAAGAGAGACAAUGUUUACCUGGGCAGGACGAAGACUCCCUGACCCUGACCAUUUACACAUCAUUACAGAUUUAACAGCUCUAUCUGAUUGAAAUAGAAGAAUGUGUGCUUGAUGAGCCCUGUAGUUUUCCUCUCCGGGCUGCUGUGUAAAUAUUAAAACACUCUACAGGCUGUCUGAGAGGAUGCAUGCUGUUAUAAAUCCUGUUAUUGUAUUAUUUUUGGGCAGGGUAGCAGCCCGGAUGAGGCUGGAAACAGGGAGAGAGGAGGGAGGAGAGGGUGAGUGAAGGGUGACGGGGGCGGACAGGUUCUUCAGCUGAGGCCCUCCAGAUAUAUUUGGUCUGAAUUUGCUUCUAAAUGCUCAUAUUAGUUUAUGGUUUUUACACCUGAGUGUCAGACAAUGUUCAGGUGGCUCCUCUUGGGGCAAACACAUGUUCAUGUUUCAGCAGGAAGAUCCUUCAUAGCUCAUGGGACAUGCGUAGAAAAACACACAUUACACAAACGUCUCAGCACACACAAGUCUGUAUUUGUAUCCUCUUUUGUGAGAUAUUCUGCAUUGUGAAAAACAGAGGACUUUACUGUCCUUGUUCUUCACACUGGAGAAGUAUACCUCAGGUUUGAUGUGAGUUGUUGCUGGUGAAACUUAAUCACUUACAAUGUUUUGUGCAAUUUUGUGCAAAAAGUUAUUAUGAGUGGCUAAUUUCUUCAAGUGAAGGUUGCUUUAGAGAGGAUGAUGAUAAAAUGCAUGGCAUCUUAUUCAAAAGAAGUUUCACAGAAAGUCCUGGAUAAAAGGAUGUGAUGAAGAUUUAUGUGUUUCUCUUUCUAAAUUCCUCCAAAAUAUUUUGAGUUUAAGCCACACAGAAAUGUGAGGGUUUUUUCCUAAAAAAUAAAUAAAUAAAUAAUAAUAAUAAUAAAAGAUAUAUAUAUAUAUAUGCGCAAGAAAAUACCAAAUAAUCUCACUCUUAAUAAAUGAUCUAAGCAGCUGUGAAACCUGUAAGCCUAUGUUGAGCAGAAAUAAUCAGCGUAAUGACACAGAGACUUGUUGUGUAUGUUAACUGUACAAAUUGCCCCUUUAGUGCUUGCAAGUCUCACCAUGGGCUUAAACUACAAGGUGAAAGGAAAAUAUUUAGUACUUACUGUGUUUUUAUCUGUACUCCUUUGAGUCGAGCGGUCCUCUCAUCCAGGGCACUUCACUGCAUUGUUGACCUUGUUUAACUUGCAUAUGACACAUGAACAAAUCUUGAAAUCUUGAAUCUUGAGCUUGAUCAACACACAAGGUAAGCCUAAAUUUUUUGUGUGUGUUUUAAAUUGUCCCACUUGGUUUUAGGUAGGUAUAACCAGACAAAAGAAAAAAAAAGAAAGUAAAGAAAAAGAAAAUGAAGUUUUUAGGGCAUAAACCAUUCUAAAAAAAUGUCGUGCAACUUUGGAUCUUGAGCUGUCAGCAUCAUCAUCACCUGUGCAUCAAGUUGUCAUUGAGAUAACUUAGUUUAUAUGAACUCAAACUAUUUCUUGUUUCUUGUUUUUUUCUUUUAAAGAACUGCCAGACACAUAUUAGAUUUCUUAAAAUAUUGUCAGCUUGUCUCUUUUAAGUCCGUCUCUUAUUUACGGCAUUAGGCACCACAAAAUAGUCUGAUUAAGAGCGACACCAUGUGGCCAUAAGUGGUCGACUUAUAUACAGAAUACUUUAUAUACAAUACUGCUAACAGUUGAUAUGCACAAAUUAACAUUACGCUGUCUUAAAAGAGUUCAGUGGUUCAGAGUUCACUGUGGUUUUAAAUU
This 3915-nucleotide long non-coding RNA is filed under the name Xyrichtys novacula (pearly razorfish). Lineage: Eukaryota; Metazoa; Chordata; Actinopteri; Labriformes; Labridae. The record is from RNAcentral.